Molecule: non-coding RNA, 169 nt
Filed under: human gut metagenome
Description: Lysine riboswitch
Rfam family: Lysine riboswitch aptamer
About the family: Riboswitches are metabolite binding domains within certain messenger RNAs that serve as precision sensors for their corresponding targets. Allosteric rearrangement of mRNA structure is mediated by ligand binding, and this results in modulation of gene expression. This family includes riboswitches that sense lysine in a number of genes involved in lysine metabolism, including lysC.
Source: RNAcentral
AAGUAGAGGCGCAAAGCUAAAAGAGUAGCUUUCCAGAGUAGAUGGAUCUACUGAGAAGGAAAGUAAAAGGGUAGUUUUGCCGAAGGUUAGCUGUCAUCCAUAGCAGUUAACUUGGUCAAAUCCAUAAUAUGAAUUUGACUGUCGCUAGUUACUAGCGGAGAGCUAUUGU